This 229-nucleotide ribosomal RNA is filed under the name uncultured Thiobacillus sp. RNAcentral describes it as "partial 16S ribosomal RNA". It matches the Rfam family "Bacterial small subunit ribosomal RNA", at positions 1157 to 1382 of the family's 1533-position model. The record is from RNAcentral. Lineage: Bacteria; Pseudomonadati; Pseudomonadota; Betaproteobacteria; Nitrosomonadales; Thiobacillaceae.
GUAAGGUGAGAGGAAGGUGGGGAUGACGUCAAGUCCUCAUGGCCCUUAUGGUAGGGCUUCACACGUCAUACAAUGGUCGGUACAGAGGGUUGCCAAGCCGCGAGGCGGAGCCAAAUCCCACAAAGCCGAUCGUAGUCCGGAUUGUUCUCUGCAACUCGAGAGCAUGAAGUCGGAAUCGCUAGUAAUCGCAGGUCAGCAUACUGCGGUGAAUUACCGGUUCCCGGGUCUU